AGCGAACGCUGGCGGCAGGCUUAACACAUGCAAGUCGAGCGCCCGUAGCAAUACGGGAGCGGCAGACGGGAGAGUAACACGUGGGAACGUACCCUUCAGUUCGGAACAACCAAGGGAAACUUUGGCUAAUACCGAAUACGUCCGUAAGGAGAAAGAUUUAUCGCUGAAGGAUCGGCCCGCGUCUGAUUAGCUAGUUGGUGAGGUAAUGGCUCACCAAGGCGACGAUCAGUAGCUGGUCUGAGAGGAUGAUCAGCCUCAUUGGGACUGAGACACGGCCCAAACUCCUACGGGAGGCAGCAGUGGGGAAUAUUGGACAAUGGGCGCAAGCC
RNAcentral lists this ribosomal RNA (329 nucleotides) under uncultured bacterium. Its description in RNAcentral is "bacterial SSU rRNA". It matches the Rfam family "Bacterial small subunit ribosomal RNA", at positions 29 to 383 of the family's 1533-position model. The record is from RNAcentral.